AUGGUAACCCGUAAUACUGGCGGCGCGGAGGCCGGGGAGCGAUCCCUACCUGUUGGCCCGCGGGCUGGGGACGGUCCGCACCCGCUCCAGGGAGGAGCGAGGGUGCGCGGGCCGGGUCGCCGGGACCCAGCAGGGGUUCUGGGGACCGGGACCCGCAGGGCAGGGCGAGACGGGCGGGACGGGCGGGGCGGGGCGGCGCUGACCCCGCCCCGGGCCGGAGGGGCGGUGCUGCCUCCCGCCGGGCCCCGGGCAUUGCCCUCCGGCCGCCUAGCCGCCCGCCCGCCGGCGCCCCGCUGUCCGCUGCCAGCUGCCGCGGGAGCCAGAGAUGGAUUUGCAGCCGCUGCAAGUGUGUGGAAGGGCCGUGUUCGUGUUGGCAAAGAAGGUCGGCUGCUGAGCCAGGGCGUGUCUCCCGGAGGCCUGCAGACUGCCAGGAUCCCCACCUCCUUGCAAUGGGCUGCCCAGGCUGGUCAGUUACCAGCCAGUGACAUCGUUGAGGUUCCCGGCUCUCUACCCUGGGAAGGGCCCAGCCUAAGUUACGAAGCCCCAGGCUCCCAGUACCACUCUCAGCCUGUGUGAGAUUGCCACCCCACCUUCUGCCUAUCCUUGGAAGGGGACCGACUCUCAGUUCCCCUUAGCAACCAAGUUGCACCCAGUCCCUUGACUUCGUGCCCAGGUUUCCUGGCACCUAAAGUAGAAACGAUGCAACUGCCCCCUGGGCUUGCUGAGGGCCAGCGGGGGUGUGAGUUUGUCACGGAGCAUAGAAGUCACUGAGUUAAUGGUGAUCCCGCUGGCUGUUAACAUCGAUACAGUUCAGGUCAGCAUGCACCAAGUUCCUCCAACACACCAGGUACAUUGGCUAACCGCUUCUUCCAGUCAGGGUGGUGCAGUGAUGAGAGCAGGGACCCUGGCCGGGUGGCCUGGGACCUAACCCCUGCACUGUCACUGCUGGCUGUGGGACUCUGCACAAGGUACUGUACUUCUAUGCCUCAAUUUCCUCAUCUGUGGGGUGGAGGUGGUAAUUGCCACGCCAUAGGGUGGUUAUAAGGGGCCACACAUGUUCCUAUGUGUGAGAUGCUGAGAAAGUCACCUGGUAUGGACAGGAUGGACAGCCAGUAUUUACAGAAUUAUGAACGAAUGAAUGUUACCCUUUAGUGGGUUCCAGCGUCCUGUCCCGCCGGUGGGAAGACUGAAGCUCAGAGAGCUCCGUAACUUGCCCCAGGUCACACAGCCGGUCAGGCAGAGUUGGGGUCUCAUGCCUCCCAGGUGUUCACACAGUCUUUUCCCCAGGAGCAUGGUCCAAGCCUGCUGCUCCCCCAACCACCUGCGAGGUACCUGGGCAUGUUCCUGCACUGGCCAAGCGCACAUCACCAAGAAAGAGAGGUCUAAGGGCGGUAGUACCAGUCAGCAUCAUGGCCUAAGGCACAACCUCCCAGUUUCUUUCCCACCUGUGUCUAUGAAAAGCACAGCCCAGGGUCUGGGCUGGACAGCCAGGGGGCCAAGAGACCCCCGUGUGUCUGGAGCAAAUGGCUCUGGGAUGCGGUAGGCAUCCCAUGUGCCUGGAACGAGUGCCCUGUGAGUGCACCUGCUGGGCCAGCCCUUAGCAAGCCAGUGCCCGGGCCUGCCAGAGCCCCAGGCCUCAUGCUGAACGUCCUCAGGACCCCUCAGUGGCCUGUCCUUGGAUGAGCCCCAGGCCUGGUUCAUGGAGCUGAGGCGGGCAUGAGCUGGGCCUCAAAUCCCAGGCUGCCAAUCCUAACAGAGCCCUGUGUGUCACAUGGUGAAGCCAUCACUUCUGACAGUCCUUAUGCGGACCAGACUCUGGCCUGGGCCUGUAAUGGUUACACACCAUGGGUGGCACUGGCCUGGUCCUUGGGGGAGCUUACAGGUGUGUCACAGAGAGUGGAAGGGACCCUGCUCAGACCCCAGUCUAUGGCCCACUGUGCUCCCAUUUCGUAGGUGAGCAGCCAGCAGGCUGGGGUUCAAGCCUUGACCCCUGUGGGCCCGGGAGUCCAUGGGCUUGGAAGCCAACCUUGGCUCUGGCUGAUGCUCACAGGAAGCAUUUCCCUGUGGGUCGGGAAUGCCAACGGCCUCCCUGAUGGGGGUGCUCAUCUCUUGCAGACCAGCCGGUUCCUGCUGGAAGCUCC
This 2141-nucleotide long non-coding RNA is filed under the name Papio anubis (olive baboon). RNAcentral describes it as "lncRNA (ENSPANG00000039663.1)". The record is from RNAcentral. Lineage: Eukaryota; Metazoa; Chordata; Mammalia; Primates; Cercopithecidae.